CGUGGGCGCAUCGCCACCGAGCCUGGGGGACAGUGACACUCCUGUGCGGUGGUGGCACAAGUGACAGGCUGCACGGUGCCACGGGCACCUGGAUGUGCAUUUCAGCACGGUUGGGUGGUGGCACAAUGCUGCAAGGUCGCCCGGCUGCAGGAGGGGGCUUUGUGCCCUCUCGUGGCUGGCGCUCGCAGGAGGCUGCGCGGGGGCUGCCCGGCCCGUUGCGCACGGGAGCUUUUCAACAAGAGGAAAUAAAACGCUGGGGCGCGACGGAGAAACCUCCCAAUUCACAACGCCAAGGUUCCCCGGGGAAAAAACGCGAAGGGAGGAUUGCGACGAGGAAGUGAAUCUGUUAUCGGGAGCAGUUUGAUAAAUAAAAACGCAUCCAAAAUCUUCCGCGCGGCACUUGCCAGCUCUUGUUGAGUUUACGGUCCUGUGCGGGCAGUGAGCCAGGAAAGGGCCUGGGGAUCCUGGUGCCAACAUUUCCACAGCCUUCAGCCAAAAAAAGGCUGUUGUGAACUGAGCAGCUUCGACGUCCCUGUGCGCGGUGCCGCUGGUUGGCAGUGCCUGAAGGCUGUGCAGGACACGGGAUCCAGAGCAGGCCCUCUCUGAUCUCCCGGCCACCUUGUCUGCCGGGACGCUGCCUGUCUUCUCCCUCCGUUAGCACUUCUUCAUCUGCAGCUCUGAUAACACAACCCACCGGAGAGCGCCGCUUUUCAAGAGUUUCCCAAUCAUUUUGAAAGGUCCCCGAUGUGGGUGCCCGGCUGGACGGGGUCACGUUCGCCAAGAGCAAGCGAUGCCACCGCGAUGGGCACCGAUGUGCUCACCCCAAGGAGCCAAACCUGGCUGCCCCACAGGCACCCCAUGGGCACAGCUGGUCCCCAGGGCUGCUGGGGUGCAUGAGAGCCGCCGGCUGCCCUGGCAGAUGCAGAUGAAAGUGUUCUGGGCUGUCACCGGCGUUAUGGAUGGGCUGCGAGCGCUCGUGGGGAGCGUCGUGCAGACACUGCGGAUGUGGAGGGAGCCUCCGCGCUUCCGAGCCCUGAUUGAUGAGAUGCGAGGGCCGGCCGCUGCACUCACUAUAUCACCACUGCCUCAACCUCUGCCAGGGGCGAGGGGUGUUGGAGCCCUGGAGAUGACUGGCUGCACUGAGGAAGGGAAGGGUCAUUGUUCCUGGGGCCAGGAAGAGAUACCAGGGGUCCCGGGGGAGCUGACUGCAUAUUUGGCAGUUCCCCAGGGACUGGGGGGACUAACAACAGCCCGGGGGGAGCCGUGGCACUGUGGCUGUGCAUCUGCAUGGCUGAAGAUGCUCUGUGGAUCAUGGCCAAAGGAGCUUUUAGCGGCUGUCAGUGCAGAAGAGGUGAGGGAGGCACAUCCCCGAGCUCAGGAGCUGCCACCAGACACUGUGGUACACAUACAUGUGGUUUGAAUUGUUUUCUGGGGGCACAGAGGGUUCCCCCUGGCCAGGUGCAUUGGGCAGCCCUGUCCCAUGGCCAUACCUGCCAGCAUCCCUGAAGCAAACCAGGGAUUUAUCCUGACACCAGGACAGAGCAAACUCCCAGGGCAGCAUUCCCCAAAACUGCCUGUGCCCCGUGCAGGGGUUCACCCGGAGCACCCUCCGCCAGCCCUUGCCCUCAUUUUCCCUUAAUUACAACCUCCCCUGGAGCCCUUGGACUCAAGCAACCGAGCUCCUUCAUAGUCCACGCAGAGCAACAGCAGCACGGCGCUGUGUGAGCUCGGUGCUCCCCUCAUCCAUCCCUCCCCCAGCCCCAAACCAUCUCCCCUGGGCAGGAUGGGGUCCCGGAUAGUGGUCGGAGCAUCCCCACGCAGCCCCUUCCCCUGGGACCUCCCCGACCCGUGCAGCACGCAGGCGGGAGCUGCAGCGCGGGCGCCGUGGGUCUCCUGAAGUUUGUUAUUACAAAGAAAGAAAGAAAAUGGCUCAAGGGAUCAGCGGGGAUAAAAAGCGCUUUAGAAACACAGGAGAUCGUUUAACAGGUCACCUCCGCAGCGGAGUUCGCCGAGCUGAUAAAGGCGAGUAAACUUAUUAAAGGGCGCACAGCUUGAUUCGAAACGGCUGCUCCCAAACAGCCAAUUACUCAGGGCCCUUCCAAUCCAAUUAGGGCGGCUGUUUCCCUGAUUACGGCGGUGUGUUUUACAAAUACACCCGGCUCCUCGGGUUCAAAGAGCAAGCCAGAGAAGGGGCUUGGUAAGGGGCGAGGCGGUGCCUGCAGCCAGGAGAGGCGCGGGGAGGCAGAGCCCAGGCGUGUGCCCUGGGAUAUGGAUACAGAUGGGGCUGGGGAUGGCUGAGCCAUGCAAAUAGUGGUGUUCCCCAGAAGAGCAGCCCUGUGCCCGUCCCUAAAGCAGCCCAGCCCAGCUAAGGAGGUGGGUUACGUCUCCAUGGGGGUGUUCAAAUAGGGGCUGGACCCCUGCAGGGUCCCAGCAAAGGCCCUGUCACCCAGCUCAGCCACUCUGUGACAUUACUGAGCCUUUCCCCAGGGACCUGGGGAGUUUUGAGGUUUGCCCUCUGGGCAUUGUAGGUGUCCUGACCUCGAAAUAAUAGCAUUGGGGGAUUUGCCCUAAUCCUCCCUGUGGGAAGAGGCAGCUUUUACAGGGAGAGACCUGGGAUGGCUUUGCAGGAGCUUGGAGCUCAUUAGGGCCAGGCUCUUGGUGUUUUCAUGGAUGUGGGCACAGGGACUGCCAGGAGGAUGAAGGAGGAAAGAACCAUGUCUCUUCCUAACCAGGAUCAUGGGUGCUGCAGUGCAGCAAACGGAUCUGAUCCUGUCCAGAGCAGGGGUGUCCCAUCACCUGGGGUGGAGGACACAGCGGGGAGCUCAUCACCGCGGCCACCGGGAGGCUGAAAAUUAACCCACAAACUCCGACCUCCUCUCAAGGGGCUGAGCAGGGCUCGGGAGGCAAAGGGGCCACACGGCACACGUCUGGAGCUGAGCUGGAGCCGCGGCUCCUUCUCCUCCACCGCUCGCUCAGCGCCUGCGCCGCCGUCCAAGCCUUCACCGCAACCGCUCCAACGGGUUCGCUUCAAAAUACUGGCACGCGGCCACCUCUGGGGUGUAGCACAGCCCCUGUUAUUAAAAUGUGUGACAGCAGCUCGAGAUGGAAAGUGAAGUUGUACAUUCUCCAUCUGAAACUCCGUGAGGAAUUUCAAGCAGGGGAAUGCAAUUUCCAGCCUGGAGGAGAGCCAGCAGCGCCAGGGCGAGAUUUUUCUUAAUAUGGUUUUGCAAAACUUGAACGCAGAAAAUUGCCCGUAGCUAUAGCAAUACCAGCGAGCUGGAGACGGCCCCGCUCGGGGAGCAUUUACACAACAAAAACACCCCCAAAGCUGCCUCUCCUGUGCCACACUCCAUGC
Long non-coding RNA from Anas platyrhynchos (mallard), 3355 nucleotides. RefSeq lists it as uncharacterized. The record is from RefSeq and is a predicted model, not a curated record. Lineage: Eukaryota; Metazoa; Chordata; Aves; Anseriformes; Anatidae.